GUCAGUGUGGUAUAGUGGCUUGAGCGUUGAACUACGACUCUGGAGAUCAGGGUUCGAUUUCCUGCUCGGCCA
Non-coding RNA from Phrynosoma platyrhinos (Desert horned lizard), 72 nucleotides. The record is from the annotation of a GenBank genome assembly. NCBI's taxonomy places the organism in Eukaryota, Metazoa, Chordata, Lepidosauria, Squamata, Phrynosomatidae.